GGCCAUCAGAAAAUCUCCACCAUCCACCUAGGAGAAAUUUUUUUUUCAGUCUUAUAUCACUUACUUUCAUGUUGGGAGUAUGUUGGCUCCCAUUCUGUUAGCUAGUCAGCCAGGCAAAAGGGCAGCAUUUAAAUCUGGGACUGGAUUUUUCUUCCCAUUUCUUGCAGACAGCUAAGCUGGCCUCUCUGUCAGCUCUCCAGUUGCCCUGAGAAACUACAGUGUUUCCCUUUCAAUGACCUUGUCAAUAUAUGAUCACAACCUUCCUGGGAGCCCACAGUGCAUCCAAAAGUUUAAGAAUUUCUUGCCCAUACAUCAUGUCCCUUUUUUCCCUCUCCUGAGUUAAUUAGCCUACAUAAGGCCCUAUGAAUAUGAUAGGUAGAGAACGCAUAUUUUGAGUCUAUGUAAAUAUCCACAUAGACCCCUGCUGUCAACUGAGGUGCUUGAAUCAAAGCAAUAAGUUUUACUUUUUUGUGCUGAAGUUCCCUGAGGCAGAGGUUCUGACUUGACAGUGGAGUCCAGAGUGACCAUUGCAUAUACAGCAAAACAUACCUCUUCUUUUAUAAAACUGCUUCCAUCUGUGAAGUACUCUGCAUUAGCCUCCUUGAGAGGCUGGUCUGUUAGGUCUGGUCUGCUGGAGAACACUUCAUCCAUGACCUCAACACAUUUGUGAUCAGGUUUUCCAGGUCCAAAUGGGCAUCGAAGUUGCUGGGUUUAGAGUUCUGAUGACCUCAAUGCAGAUACGUGGAUUUUCACAUAACAUGCCCUGAUAUUUGACCAUUCUUUCAUUAGUCAAUCAAUAGUGUCCUUUGUAUUCUAACAAUGUCAAAAUUGAAUGAGGAACUCUGACAACCAGUUCUUGUCCCAUGGCCAGUUUAUCAGCUUCCAACACCAGUAGAGCUGUGGCUGCAAGGGCCCGUAAAAAAGGUGGCCAGCCCUAUGCUACAGAGUCCAGCUCUUUGGACAAAUUGGUCACUGGACAGUGCCAUGUCCCCAGCAUCUGAGUAAAAACUCCUACAGCCACUCCAGACAGAUCAUGGACAUACAGAAAGAAAGGAUUUGUGAGGUCAAGGAGACCUAAUCCAGGUGCACUGAUGAGUGCUUGUUUAAUGUCCUCAAAGGCCUGUUGCUUAAUUGGCCCCCACAUCAGAGGAUCUCG
RNAcentral lists this long non-coding RNA (1156 nucleotides) under Marmota monax (woodchuck). Lineage: Eukaryota; Metazoa; Chordata; Mammalia; Rodentia; Sciuridae. The record is from RNAcentral.